AUUUAAAAGAAACACUAAUUAAUAGAGAAUCACAAUUUCGGAGAAAGUUUUAAAAUUUUAAUGAUAAUUAUUAAUGUUCAUCAAUACAUGCAUGUUACUUAAAUUUUUUAGCAACUUUUAUAAUCAAUUUUUGUUGUUGUAAUAAUUGAAAUUACAUAACAAAAUAUGACAUACCUCACAUGCAUCGCCACCAACUCAAUUCCGAGCUUGUUGAGUUCUUUCCACAUAAUUCUUUUCCACUUUGUGACAUACUCACCAAUGAUUCUUUCACGUAUCAUAGUAUUCUCAUUUGUGUUCGAUGGCUCUCCCGGGGAUCCCUCAUCGGAGAUCCUUGGGAAGAGGAUCAAAUUGGCCCUUGCAUUUUGGAUAAUGCUUGCAUCCUCUGUCUUAUCACGACUGUUGGCACAGAGUUAGUCGAUGACAAAAAUAUCUCUUUUGCUUAUCCCUAUCUCGAUAAGCCGAAACCAGAGUUCUUAUUUUCUGUUGUUGAGUAAUAGUUCGGAUAAGUAUUGAAUGAACCUCUCGAAAGCUUGAUAUGAUCGGAGAAUAUUGCUACCCAUUUCAAAUUUUUUUUUCCUUGGAGAGUUUGGACACAAAAAUAAAAAUCACUCUCCUCUCUCUCUAUCUAAAUUCUCUCAUUGUCUCUAUAAUGUUCCCAAG
RNAcentral lists this long non-coding RNA (660 nucleotides) under Olea europaea subsp. europaea. Lineage: Eukaryota; Viridiplantae; Streptophyta; Magnoliopsida; Lamiales; Oleaceae. The record is from RNAcentral.